AACGCACAUUGCGCCCUCUGGUAUUCCGGGGGGCACGCCCGUCCGAGCGUCAUCUCUACCAUCCAGCCCGGCUGGGUCUUGGGCGGCGGGCGACCCCUCAGGUCGCCCGCGCCCCAAAUUGCUCGGCCGCCCGGCCGUGUCGGGGCGUCAGGACGGAACCACCGUUCGCCCACGACACGCCGCCGCGGUGGCCGCCGUCAAGGGAGCAUAAUCACAAGGUGGACCUCGGAUCGGGCGGGGAUACCCGCUGAACUUAA
This 257-nucleotide unclassified non-coding RNA is filed under the name uncultured fungus. RNAcentral's name for it is "partial contains 5.8S ribosomal RNA, internal transcribed spacer 2, and large subunit ribosomal RNA". Lineage: Eukaryota; Fungi. The record is from RNAcentral.